GUCACUUUGGUAGCACAUAAACCAAAAUUGGAACAAUACAGAGUAAAUCAGUAUGGCCCCGUCAAAGGAUACCACAUGAAUUCUUGAAGCAUUCCACACUUCA
This 103-nucleotide small nuclear RNA is filed under the name Heterocephalus glaber (naked mole-rat). Lineage: Eukaryota; Metazoa; Chordata; Mammalia; Rodentia; Bathyergidae. The record is from RNAcentral.